Bombus impatiens (common eastern bumble bee) is the source of this 1202-nucleotide long non-coding RNA. RefSeq lists it as uncharacterized. The transcript has 3 exons. The record is from RefSeq and is a predicted model, not a curated record. Lineage: Eukaryota; Metazoa; Arthropoda; Insecta; Hymenoptera; Apidae.
AUGGGUUUUCUAUAAUUUAAGCGACAAGCAAAAAGAUCGCUGUCAGACGACUGAAGAUAGCAACUAAACUCUCAUAUACUGCGUAUAAUAAUAAACGAUACUCGGAGGAUCCCCCACUCCUCUGCCACUAGGUGAAAAUGAAGCAUCAGAUCCACAAGACUAAUAAUACGUGGACAUAUAUCACGGAAGACUGGACAAUUCCGUUAGCACGGAGGUUGGAGCUCAACGAGGUAUAACGUUACACGAUGCUUACACGGCCCCAAGAGCCCGAGUCUACUAUUUUGUGCGCUAGUAGAACUGUGAAAAUGCCUUUUUACGAAGCAACCGAGCAUAUGCGCCAUCGUAGCUCGACCAUACGCUGUCACAGCCCUAUGGACCGAGUGAGACGUUGCACGGGUGAAAUGUUUCACCAACGAGACUCAAAGGAUAGUUAACAGUUAACGGCCAUGCGACCAUACCGUCAUCCUAUCCCGCACCAAUCGACCGCGAUGUGUACCCUCGCACCCUUUAUCCUCUUUUUCUCGCUUCGUCCUUCUCUCUCUCUGGUCGCUUACUUUUGAUUCGUUUGUUUUAUACCUUAGUAGGUGCCAAUCCAAGAUUCGUUCGCGUAUCGCGAGCGAACAGAUUUCUUGAUAAACGCGAAACGUUGAAAUCGAGACGAAAUCUAUAUAGGUCGCGGACUGAAAGGAUAUCGUUACGGAGAAGAUGCGUUAUCUUUCAAUUUAUUUACAUACACUGUACAUACUUGACGAUCAGUUCAUCGAGAUACACGCAUCGAGUACGUUCUGUGCAUGCACGCACGUAGCUAUAUAGUCUCUUAAAAAUAUCGCGAUUAUUGGAAACUAUAGAAUUUCUACACGUUUCUAUGUAUUUUUCCAACGACUAAUUAAUCGUAUAACUUCACGUUUCAAAAACUAAUCGAUCCUAGACUUGAAAACUAUUUAACUCGAGCGCUACGUUUACUUCGACACGAGAGAUUAUUUGUUUGCCGUUGAAUUUACGAGUCAACCCUGCAAACAGUUAUUAAGUCAAGUAAAAAAAAAUAAUCUUUCAAAAUAAUUGAGACAGAGAUCAACUAUCGUUUCCAAGCGAAAGUAGAUUUAGUAUACGUUUCAUACGUUCAUCUUUUCUAAACCAUUGUUCUAGAAAAUUUCGACUAUACAAGAUCCACUUUCUAUCAUAAGUAAAACAUUCGAAGGCAG